This 376-nucleotide RNase P RNA is filed under the name Thalassobacillus devorans. RNAcentral describes it as "Bacterial RNase P class B". It matches the Rfam family "Bacterial RNase P class B". Rfam says of the family: Ribonuclease P (RNase P) is a ubiquitous endoribonuclease, found in archaea, bacteria and eukarya as well as chloroplasts and mitochondria. Its best characterised activity is the generation of mature 5'-ends of tRNAs by cleaving the 5'-leader elements of precursor-tRNAs. The record is from RNAcentral. Lineage: Bacteria; Bacillati; Bacillota; Bacilli; Caryophanales; Bacillaceae.
CUUGGGUGAUCGCUGCAUACUUAACAUGCAGAGGAAAGUCCAUGCUCGCACAGGCUGAGAUGCCUGUAGUGUUCAUGCCUGACGAAACCAUAAGUCAGGGUAGCCUUUUUGGCUAACGGCAGGGAAAAUGCCUAAGUCCUUAGGGAUAUGGCAUUCCAACCUUGAAAGUGCCACAGUGACGUAGUCAAAGCAGAAAUGCUUUGAGUGGAACGCGGUAAACCCCAUGAGCGAGCAACCCAAAUGAAGGUAGGGGCACUCUUGGAAGGGAAAUGAACCUGAUAAGAGGCAAGCAUUCAUGCUUGCAGAUAGAUGAUUACCACCGGAGUACGAGGUUGACCACCGCUGGCAGUACGAUGGUACAGAACAUGGCUUACAA